CCCGAAAAAGUUAUAGGGGUGAGAGUAGUAAUUUUCAAUUUUAAGAGGGCCAAAUUGGAAAAUAUAAGGACUCUAGUUAUCCGGUCGAACUAAUUUUCCGGUCUGGUUCUCUCGAUCUUCACUGUGGUGGUUUAGGGCUUUGAUGUGAGCGACAGAGAAUAAGAGAUAAACAUGGCGACGUCAAAUGAUAUUCAAGCAGCCCUAAAACCCUUUCAUCAAAGGGCUUCCGAUGCUGAGGAACGGUUGGCAAGACUUGAAGCUGCCAUUGCUACGACGAAAGUUGCAGACUCUGGAAAUGAGGAGCUAUCAAAUAAAGUAGCCGAAAUGCAAAGAAUGUUAGAAGAUGCAAAAGCAGAGCAACUUGCUGAAAGAGAAAAGGCUUUGAAGGAGGUGAAGUGGGUUACAGAAGAAAAUGCAAAACUCCGUUAUCGUAUAACUCAUCUUGUCCGAGCAUUAGAGAAAGCCGAUAGUGAUUUAGCUUCAAAAUGAAACGAGCCCUUUCGGGAGAUCAAUAUUUUCUGCAUUUUUUUCGUGAUAAAAUAUCAUUCAUGCAUGAUCGCAAGCCUGUCAGAUGUGCGUCUGGAUUUGGCGACAAAGGUUUGAUAAAAUUUGUCAUUGGCCAAAGAUCGAGUCCAUCUAAAGAAUUGAUCUUGUGAGUAUGUUUUAAAGAAAUUUUUAUCAUCGAAAACAAGGGGGCACAAACUUAUUUGGGUAUAGGUGAAUGAUGUAUAUUGUUGCAACUGCACCAGAACAAGGGAUCCUAGAAACUUGCCAAUUCUUGUAAAUGCAUGUUCUGUGGACAAUAUACCCAUUUAAACAGAUUCCCAUUAUUGC
RNA transcript from Cynara cardunculus var. scolymus (artichoke), 834 nucleotides. RefSeq lists it as uncharacterized. The transcript is spliced from 5 exons. The record is from RefSeq and is a predicted model, not a curated record. Lineage: Eukaryota; Viridiplantae; Streptophyta; Magnoliopsida; Asterales; Asteraceae.